UCUGGUGGCGAUAGCGAAGAGGUCACACCCGUUCCCAUACCGAACACGGAAGUUAAGCUCUUUAGCGCCAAUGGUAGUUGGGACUUUGUCCCUGUGAGAGUAGGACGUUACCAGGC
Molecule: ribosomal RNA, 116 nt
Filed under: Bacillus sp. PvP124
Lineage: Bacteria; Bacillati; Bacillota; Bacilli; Caryophanales; Bacillaceae
Source: RNAcentral